CCUACGGGUGGCAGCAGUGAGGAAUAUUGGUCAAUGGACGCAAGUCUGAACCAGCCAUGCCGCGUGCAGGAAGACGGCUCUAUGAGUUGUAAACUGCUUUUGUACGAGGGUAAACGCAGAUACGCGUAUCUGUCUGAAAGUAUCGUACGAAUAAGGAUCGGCUAACUCCGUGCCAGCAGCCGCGGGAAUACGGAGGAUUCAAGCGUUAUCCGGAUUUAUUGGGUUUAAAGGGUGCGUAGGCGGUCGGAUUAGUUAGAGGGGAAAUCCCGAGGCUCAACUUCGGAAUUGCCUCUGAUACUGGUCGGCUAGAGAGUAGUAGCGGUAGGCGGAAUGUAUGGUGUAGCGGUGAAAUGCUUAGAGAUCAUACAGAACACCGAUUGCGAAGGCAGCUUACCAAGCUACUACUGACGUUGAGGCACGAAAGCGUGGGGAGCGAACAGGAUUAGAUACCCUUGUAGUC
This 460-nucleotide ribosomal RNA is filed under the name uncultured bacterium. RNAcentral describes it as "partial 16S ribosomal RNA". It matches the Rfam family "Bacterial small subunit ribosomal RNA", at positions 338 to 795 of the family's 1533-position model. The record is from RNAcentral.